CAGCGGCGAAUGGGUGAGUAACACGUGGGUAAUCCACCCUCGGCACCGGAAUAGCCCGGGGAAACCCGGAUUAAUGCCGGAUGGCCCAGCAGCUCUUCGGGGCGGCUGGAAAAAGUAGCUUAGGCCUCUGGCCGGGGACGAGCCCGCGGCGGAUUAGCUUGUUGGUGAGGCAAAGGCUCACCAAGGCUCCGAUCCGUAGCUGGUCUGAGAGGACGAUCAGCCACACUGGGACUGAGACACGGCCCAGACUCCUACGGGAGGCAGCAGUGGGGAAUCUUGCACAAUGGGCGAAAGCCUGAUGCAGCGACGCCGCGUGAGGGAAGAAGGCUUUCGGGUUGUAAACCUCUUUCAGAAGGGACGAAGCCACUCGGGUUAAUAGCCCAGAGGGUGACGGUACCUUCAGAAGAAGCCCCGGCUAACUACGUGCCAGCAGCCGCGGUAAUACGUAGGGGGCAAGCGUUGUCCGGAUUUAUUGGGCGUAAAGAGCGUGUAGGCGGCCAUGCAGGUCCGUUGUGAAAACUCGAGGCUCAACCUCGAGACGCCGAUGGAAACCGUAUGGCUAGAGUCCGGAAGAGGAGAGUGGAAUUCCUGGUGUAGCGGUGAAAUGCGCAGAUAUCAGGAAGAACACCCGUGGCUAAGGCGGCUCUCUAGUACGGUAC
Molecule: ribosomal RNA, 659 nt
Filed under: uncultured bacterium
Lineage: Bacteria
Description: bacterial SSU rRNA
Rfam family: Bacterial small subunit ribosomal RNA
Source: RNAcentral